Molecule: ribosomal RNA, 253 nt
Filed under: uncultured bacterium
Lineage: Bacteria
Description: partial 16S ribosomal RNA
Rfam family: Bacterial small subunit ribosomal RNA
Source: RNAcentral
GACAGAGGGUGCAAACGUUGCUCGGAAUCACUGGGUGUAAAGGGCGUGUAGGCGGAUAGAUAAGUCGGGCGUGAAAUCCCCAGGCUCAACCUGGGAACUGCACUCGAAACUGUUUAUCUUGAGUGCCGGAGAGGAAAGCGGAAUUCCUGGUGUAGAGGUGAAAUUCGUAGAUAUCAGGAGGAACACCAGUGGCGAAGGCGGCUUUCUGGACGGUAACUGACGCUGAGACGCGAAAGCGUGGGGAGCAAACAGG